This 495-nucleotide ribosomal RNA is filed under the name uncultured bacterium. RNAcentral describes it as "partial 16S ribosomal RNA". It matches the Rfam family "Bacterial small subunit ribosomal RNA", at positions 28 to 507 of the family's 1533-position model. The record is from RNAcentral.
GACGAACGCUGGCGGCGUGCCUAAUACAUGCAGGUAGAACGCUGAAGGAGGAGCUCGCUUCUCUGGAUGAGUUGCGAACGGGUGAGUAACGCGUAGGUAACCUGCCUGGUAGCGGGGGAUAACUAUUGGAAACGAUAGCUAAUACCGCAUAAUAUUGACUAUUGCAUGAUAGUCAGUUGAAAGGUGCAACUGCACCACUACCAGAUGGACCUGCGUUGUAUUAGCUAGUUGGUGGGGUAACGGCUCACCAAGGCGACGAUACAUAGCCGACCUGAGAGGGUGAUCGGCCACACUGGGACUGAGACACGGCCCAGACUCCUACGGGAGGCAGCAGUAGGGAAUCUUCGGCAAUGGACGGAAGUCUGACCGAGCAACGCCGCGUGAGUGAAGAAGGUUUUCGGAUCGUAAAGCUCUGUUGUAAGAGAAGAACGAGUGUGAGAGUGGAAAGCUCCCACUGUGACGGUAUCUUACCAGAAAGGGACGGCUAACUACGUG